This 1320-nucleotide long non-coding RNA is filed under the name Dasypus novemcinctus (nine-banded armadillo). RNAcentral describes it as "lncRNA (ENSDNOG00000051079.1)". Lineage: Eukaryota; Metazoa; Chordata; Mammalia; Cingulata; Dasypodidae. The record is from RNAcentral.
GCCCGGGCCCGCCCCCUGCCGGGACUCCGCGCGGCCCUAGCGCCCCCGGCCGGACCCUGGCUCGGGCGUCCCUCUCCUGGCUGUCCUGGGUCCUAGCGCUCGUUGGCCCAAUGUGACUCGAUUUCCCUGGCUAAGCUGGCAGUUUCGGGACUUGUAGGAGCUCCCGCUCUCCUGUCCCCAAUCCCCUCUGGGCUCCUCUCUGGUAAAACUUCGGCCAUCGACGUCUGGGUCUGUGGAAUCAAGAGCAAACGUGUGCCCCUCCGCGCGCCAGCCCGGGCCGCUCCAGCCCGCCCGCGCGGCGCUAGGCAAGGAGGGAAGAAGAGGGGACUCAGGGAAGGGGGCGUGGGGGGUUCCGAAUUCGAGUCUCGCACACGGAAGGCCCCUCGAAGGCUGCCGGGCGCGGCCCCGCGGAGAGCGCAGUUCCUUCAGGGUCUUCAUCGGGUCCCUCCCGAGGGCCGCGGGGGCCCGAGUUUCGAGGGCCGGGGGUGGGAGACGCUGUCCCGCCCCCGAGGUGCUGAAGCACCACCGCGGCCCUCCAACGGCACCUCCUCGAGACGGGGUCCCCGCAGCCGCCACCGCGGGCCGCUCACACCGGCCGCUAGGUGGCGCCAUUGCCCCGGCCAGCGCCUGGGGCCUCGCGGCUCGGGACGCCGACGGAGGUCGCGGCGGGGGACCCGGGAAGGGCGAGGGCGAAAGAGGAAGGCGGCCCUCCCAANNNNNNNNNNNNNNNNNNNNNNNNNNNNNNNNNNNNNNNNNNNNNNNNNNNNGUUGACUGACAGCCCGACUGCGCGGCCCGGACGGUCCCUCCGCUCCGGAUCCGGCGGGAGGGGGGAGGGGCGGGAUUUCCUGCGGGAGGCGCCGGGCCGGCCUUGGGAAAGGAGGAGAAGGCGGAGGAAGGGGCCCGGGGGGCCGGGGGAGCUGUGGUCCCGAGUGCCAGGGGCCGAGCGGGGCCGGCCGGACCGGGCAGGGCGGCCGGGAGAGGCUGUGGCCCAGCCUUCGGUGGAGACCCCCCGAGACCUGUCCACGGCUGCUGCCCGAGGCCAGAGGGAAUGCUGGGUGCUCUCCGGGUGGGCACUGGUGCUCCCGAGCCAAGUGGCGAAGAUUGGCGCACCCAGUCCCGGCCCAUCCCGGGGCCGUCGGAAGCUGCAAGCUGAUAUCCGUCCAGAUUUCCACGCAGCCUCCACCCCCUCAGAGCUCAGCUUUCCGGCCUGUGGUGGCAGCUCACGGAGCACCAGCGGGCACCUGACAAGGAGCUCACUGCCUGUGCGCGGACGGACGUGCUCCCCCAGGAUCCCGGGCCUCCGGGCGGCUGAGGCAUGA